UUUCCACAAGACAACAAUUGUUGCUUAGAAACAGCCAAUAAUUUGGACAAAGACUGUGAAGAUCUAAAAGACUACCAUUGCUUUUCCAGUUCCUGCCAAGGAAUUGCCACCUUGUGAAUACCCCAGGACCAAGGGGCUUCCUGAGUAGUGCCCUCCUAGGCAGUGAGGGCUGACCUGUGAAACUGCCACUAAUUCCUGUGGAGGGAACCUCUGCCAACAUGAGGGUACCUGCCAUAAAGACACUGAGCACCCUCUCUGUAUCUGUCCU
This 268-nucleotide long non-coding RNA is filed under the name Mus musculus (house mouse). RNAcentral describes it as "long non-coding RNA chr5:66356917-66357185". The record is from RNAcentral. Lineage: Eukaryota; Metazoa; Chordata; Mammalia; Rodentia; Muridae.